AUGGAAACCUACAGAUCAUUGCAACAAAACAAAAAGGGAAAAGGGGAGUGUGUGGCAGCAUCCAAAAACAAGGGAAAAAUGCUUGAUCUCAAUGAGUUGCCUCCAGAUCUCAAUGAGCUUCCUCAUGAUAUGGAUCAACAGCAACCCAGCAUACAACAAGGAAACUGCACAGAAAAUGGUCGAUCUGUUUACUACACGCAGGCAAGUCGUGAUGGUAACCCUACGGGCCAUGACAAUGUGGCAGGCCAGUCAUCAGCCCGUGGUGCCCCUGUAGUGGUGUCUUUGCAGUCAGAGAGCCAUACUCUUGAUGACACAGGAACCGAGGCAAAUGUUCCUGGUCCAACCAGGACUGAGCUAGAAGCUGGGGCUUUUGACAGAGUUGUGCAAGUAGAAGAAGGAGAGGAUGAGCUUUGUGCUACUCCCAAUGGACCUACAGGCAGGACUCAGGGGGCUCAUAACCCAGGCGACUACAAUCCAAGUACCAUAACAGGUCGUGCUACUGCAGGUGAUCGUGACGGUCCUACUGCCCCGUUGGAGGCUGCAUCCCUUGCACAAGCUUCUGAUGAUUUUGUGCCCAGGGAUCCUCCAAGGUCUACUACAAAGGGUAGGGCAAAGAGUCGACGCUACAAAUCGGCGCUGGAGCUACGCCCAAAGAAGAAAAACAAAUGCAGCCAGUGCCAAUCUACAGAGCACACUGCUGGUGUGUGUCCACAGAGGCUCCUAUGA
This 726-nucleotide ribosomal RNA is filed under the name Triticum aestivum (bread wheat). RNAcentral describes it as "partial small subunit ribosomal RNA". Lineage: Eukaryota; Viridiplantae; Streptophyta; Magnoliopsida; Poales; Poaceae. The record is from RNAcentral.